Molecule: ribosomal RNA, 497 nt
Filed under: uncultured bacterium
Lineage: Bacteria
Description: partial 16S ribosomal RNA
Rfam family: Bacterial small subunit ribosomal RNA
Source: RNAcentral
GAUGAACGCUGGCGGCGUGCCUAAUACAUGCAAGUCGAGCGAACAGACGAGGAGCUUGCUCCUCUGACGUUAGCGGCGGACGGGUGAGUAACACGUGGAUAACCUACCUAUAAGACUGGGAUAACUUCGGGAAACCGGAGCUAAUACCGGAUAAUAUAUUGAACCGCAUGGUUCAAUAGUGAAAGGCGGUUUUGCUGUCACUUAUAGAUGGAUCCGCGCCGCAUUAGCUAGUUGGUAAGGUAACGGCUUACCAAGGCAACGAUGCGUAGCCGACCUGAGAGGGUGAUCGGCCACACUGGAACUGAGACACGGUCCAGACUCCUACGGGAGGCAGCAGUAGGGAAUCUUCCGCAAUGGGCGAAAGCCUGACGGAGCAACGCCGCGUGAGUGAUGAAGGUCUUCGGAUCGUAAAACUCUGUUAUUAGGGAAGAACAAAUGUGUAAGUAUCUAUGCACGUCUUGACGGUACCUAAUCAGAAAGCCACGGCUAACUACGUG